UCAGGCCUAACACAUGCAAGUCGAACGGCAGCACGGACUUCGGUCUGGUGGCGAGUGGCGAACGGGUGAGUAAUACAUCGGAACGUGCCCAGUCGUGGGGGAUAACGUAGCGAAAGCUACGCUAAUACCGCAUACGAUCUACGGAUGAAAGCGGGGGAUCGCAAGACCUCGCGCGAUUGGAGCGGCCGAUGGCAGAUUAGGUAGUUGGUGGGGUAAAGGCUCACCAAGCCGACGAUCUGUAGCUGGUCUGAGAGGACGACCAGCCACACUGGGACUGAGACACGGCCCAGACUCCUACGGGAGGCAGCAGUGGGGAAUUUUGGACAAUGGGCGCAAGCCUGAUCCAGCCAAUGCGCGUGCAGGAUGAAGGCCCUCGGGUUGUAAACUGAAUGGUACAGAACGAAAAGGCUCUGG
This 414-nucleotide ribosomal RNA is filed under the name uncultured bacterium. RNAcentral's name for it is "bacterial SSU rRNA". It matches the Rfam family "Bacterial small subunit ribosomal RNA", at positions 42 to 459 of the family's 1533-position model. The record is from RNAcentral.